GUAGACAAUGAUGAGUUAUUAUACCGCCCCAGUCUGAAUUCUGUGACUGAUUGGUUAACUUGCUGAGUUGC
This is a small nucleolar RNA of Asterias rubens (European starfish), 71 nucleotides long. The record is from RefSeq and is a predicted model, not a curated record. NCBI's taxonomy places the organism in Eukaryota, Metazoa, Echinodermata, Asteroidea, Forcipulatida, Asteriidae.